Molecule: unclassified non-coding RNA, 1044 nt
Filed under: Hevea brasiliensis (rubber tree)
Lineage: Eukaryota; Viridiplantae; Streptophyta; Magnoliopsida; Malpighiales; Euphorbiaceae
Source: RNAcentral
CAGUACCCUCCAGAUUUUAAGAAAACAAAAACACAAUUGAAUUAAAUCCAUUUACAAUUUAGCUUAAUAGAAAACAAAUGAAAAAAAAUAUAUAUAUGUUGAUGAACCUUCAUAUGAAAUUCUACAGUUAAUUUCCUUGCAUUCUAAAAUUCGAGUAAAGAUUUGGCUUUUUGAUGUAAUUAGGGCAUAAGAAAUAUAUGGCUCAAGGGACAAAAUAAUCAAUAUGAAUUUUAAUAUCAUAAAUUUAAAAACAUAUAUCAUUUGAAAUUCAUACCCAUAUUCAGUUCACUAAACCCAAGACACAACAUAUAUUUAAUAGGUAUAUUGUACCAUAUAUCUCAUGUCUUAGUUUCAUAAUGGACUGUAUCUAGGAGCAAAAAAUUCAUUCAGUCAUACAAAGUAGACAUGAACCAGGGACAACCUAUCCAUCAGCCCAUAGAGAUUAAAGCACAAGAAAUCCAGCAAGUACUGAGAAACUUUUAGAUCUACUUCUUUUACUACUGUAGGUGGAAAAUCAAAUCAAUAUUUUAGGAUUAGACCAAUAAAUUUGACCCCAUAUCUGUUUUUUAAACAUAAAUCCAACAAAAGCCAAUUCAAUUCUUAUUUGAAGCAACCAGAUAUCUCUAUACAACCACAACAGCUUUCCCUAACUAUCAGAUUCCCCCUAAAUGAGGAAAUGAUAGAGAAUAAUAAAUUCUUGUAAAGCAACACCUCAAUUAUUUCACAUCAUAUCCAGCAAUCCUAUCACCAAUAAGUUUUAUCUUCGCUUGAACUGAAAUCAUUUUCAAGACUCUUGAGAUUUCGAGUUUCAGUUCUGAUUUUGAUUAGCAACAACAAUUGAAUUGAUCUUGUUGCAUAGUUUUUAUCACAUCCUUGAAAUCUAUGUUGGUUUACAAAAUCAUACUUAAAUCAUCAAUCUUUAAAGCUUAAAAUAAGUAUAUACUAAUUACCUUGCUGAAGAAAUUGAAUCCACACCCAUUUUGUAUCCUGUCAACCUCAAAUAUCGUCACAGAAAGGGUCCCAUGGAGCAAACUAGGCAUCCUU